CUACUGGUGGCUCAAUGGUUAAAGUGCUUGGCUGUUAACCAAAAGGUCAGUGGUUAGAUCCCACCAGUUGC
Molecule: transfer RNA, 71 nt
Filed under: Loxodonta africana (African savanna elephant)
Lineage: Eukaryota; Metazoa; Chordata; Mammalia; Proboscidea; Elephantidae
Rfam family: tRNA
About the family: Transfer RNA (tRNA) molecules are approximately 80 nucleotides in length. Their secondary structure includes four short double-helical elements and three loops (D, anti-codon, and T loops). Further hydrogen bonds mediate the characteristic L-shaped molecular structure. tRNAs have two regions of fundamental functional importance: the anti-codon, which is responsible for specific mRNA codon recognition, and the 3' end, to which the tRNAs corresponding amino acid is attached (by aminoacyl-tRNA synthetases). tRNAs cope with the degeneracy of the genetic code in two manners: having more than one tRNA (with a specific anti-codon) for a particular amino acid; and 'wobble' base-pairing, i.e. permitting non-standard base-pairing at the 3rd anti-codon position.
Source: Rfam by way of RNAcentral